GACGAACGCUGGCGGCGUGCUUAACACAUGCAAGUCGAACGGAAAGGCCCUGCUUUUGUGGGGUGCUCGAGUGGCGAACGGGUGAGUAACACGUGAGUAACCUGCCCUUGACUUUGGGAUAACUUCAGGAAACUGGGGCUAAUACCGGAUAGGAGCUCCUGCUGCAUGGUGGGGGUUGGAAAGUUUCGGCGGUUGGGGAUGGGCUCGCGGCUUAUCAGCUUGUUGGUGGGGUAGUGGCGUACCAAGGCGUUGACGGGUAGCCGGCCUGAGAGGGUGACCGGCCACAUUGGGCUUGAGAUACGGGCCAGAGUCCUACGGGCGGCAGCAGUGGGGAAUAUUGCACAAUGGGCGGAAGCCUGAUGCAGCAACGCCGCGUGGUGGAUGACGGCUUUCGGGUUGUAAACCGCUUUCGCCUGUGACGAAGCGUGAGUGACGGUAAUGGGUAAAGAAGCACCGGCUAACUACGUG
Molecule: ribosomal RNA, 468 nt
Filed under: uncultured bacterium
Lineage: Bacteria
Description: partial 16S ribosomal RNA
Rfam family: Bacterial small subunit ribosomal RNA
Source: RNAcentral